GGCAAGAUGGCCGAGCGGUCUAAGGCGCUGUGUUCAGGAAAUUUCAGGUGAUAUUUCAGUGUUUCGCAGUCCGAAAGGGCGUGGGUUCGAAUCCCACUCUUGUCA
Apodospora peruviana is the source of this 105-nucleotide non-coding RNA. Lineage: Eukaryota; Fungi; Ascomycota; Sordariomycetes; Sordariales; Lasiosphaeriaceae. The record is from the annotation of a GenBank genome assembly.